AGCUGUUAGAAGAGGAGCAGAAGCAGAAGACAGCCAUGGAGCUGCUUGAUCAAUACCUUCAAUUCAAAGGGGAAGCCGAGAAAGAGAACAAGAAGAAGAAGAAAGAGAAGGAUCCAUUGAAGCCCAAGCAUCCUAUGUCUGCAUUCUUUCUCUUUUCAAAUGAGAGGCGUGCAUCCCUUCUUGCCGAAAACAAGAAUGUUCUAGAGGUAGCGAAGAUAACAGGUGAGGAGUGGAAGAACAUGACAGAGAAACAGAGAGGUCCUUACGAA
Molecule: non-coding RNA, 269 nt
Organism: Cucurbita pepo subsp. pepo (vegetable marrow)
Lineage: Eukaryota; Viridiplantae; Streptophyta; Magnoliopsida; Cucurbitales; Cucurbitaceae
Source: RefSeq, a predicted model, not a curated record